AGCGAACGCUGGCGGCAGGCUUAACACAUGCAAGUCGAGCGGGCCCUUCGGGGUCAGCGGCAGACGGGUGAGUAACACGUGGGAACGUACCCUUUGGUUCGGAAUAACGCUGGGAAACUAGCGCUAAUACCGGAUACGCCCUUUUGGGGAAAGGCUUGCUGCCGAAGGAUCGGCCCGCGUCUGAUUAGCUAGUUGGUGGGGUAAUGGCCUACCAAGGCGACGAUCAGUAGCUGGUCUGAGAGGAUGAUCAGCCACACUGGGACUGAGACACGGCCCAGACUCCUACGGGAGGGAGGAGUGGGGAAUAUUGGGCGAUGGGGGCAAGCCUGAUCCAGCCAUGCCGGGUGAGUUGUGAAGGCCUUAGGGUUGUAAAGCCCUUUUGUCCGGGACGAUAAUGACGGUACCGGAAGAAUAAGCCCCGGCUAACUUCGUG
This 433-nucleotide ribosomal RNA is filed under the name uncultured bacterium. RNAcentral's name for it is "partial 16S ribosomal RNA". It matches the Rfam family "Bacterial small subunit ribosomal RNA", at positions 29 to 507 of the family's 1533-position model. The record is from RNAcentral.